This 638-nucleotide ribosomal RNA is filed under the name Rhodococcus sp. Se1Pt_292. RNAcentral's name for it is "bacterial SSU rRNA". It matches the Rfam family "Bacterial small subunit ribosomal RNA", at positions 382 to 1033 of the family's 1533-position model. The record is from RNAcentral. RNAcentral also lists the same sequence under 1 other name. Lineage: Bacteria; Bacillati; Actinomycetota; Actinomycetes; Mycobacteriales; Nocardiaceae.
CCUGAUGCAGCGACGCCGCGUGAGGGAUGACGGCCUUCGGGUUGUAAACCUCUUUCAGCAGGGACGAAGCGCAAGUGACGGUACCUGCAGAAGAAGCACCGGCCAACUACGUGCCAGCAGCCGCGGUAAUACGUAGGGUGCGAGCGUUGUCCGGAAUUACUGGGCGUAAAGAGUUCGUAGGCGGUUUGUCGCGUCGUCUGUGAAAACCCACCGCUCAACGGUGGGCCUGCAGGCGAUACGGGCAGACUUGAGUACUGCAGGGGAGACUGGAAUUCCUGGUGUAGCGGUGAAAUGCGCAGAUAUCAGGAGGAACACCGGUGGCGAAGGCGGGUCUCUGGGCAGUAACUGACGCUGAGGAACGAAAGCGUGGGUAGCAAACAGGAUUAGAUACCCUGGUAGUCCACGCCGUAAACGGUGGGCGCUAGGUGUGGGUUCCUUCCACGGGAUCUGUGCCGUAGCUAACGCAUUAAGCGCCCCGCCUGGGGAGUACGGCCGCAAGGCUAAAACUCAAAGGAAUUGACGGGGGCCCGCACAAGCGGCGGAGCAUGUGGAUUAAUUCGAUGCAACGCGAAGAACCUUACCUGGGUUUGACAUGUACUGGAAAGCCGUAGAGAUACGGCCCCCCUUGUGGCCGGUAC